RNAcentral lists this ribosomal RNA (389 nucleotides) under uncultured bacterium. Its description in RNAcentral is "bacterial SSU rRNA". It matches the Rfam family "Bacterial small subunit ribosomal RNA", at positions 32 to 419 of the family's 1533-position model. The record is from RNAcentral.
AAUCAACGCUGGCGGCGUGCCUAGCACAUGCAAGUCGAGCGAGAAAGGGUAGCAAUACCUGAGUAAAGCGGCGCACGGGUGAGUAACACGUGGGUAAUCUGCCUUGGAGUGGGGAAUAACACCGGGAAACCGGUGCUAAUACCGCAUACGAUCACCGGGUUUGCGAAUCUGGUGAUGAAAGGAGCAAUUCGCUCCAAGAGGAGCCCGCGGCUGAUUAGCUAGUGGUGAGGUAAUGGCUCACCAAGGCAACGAUCAGUAGCCGGUCUGAGAGGACGGUCGGCCACACUGGAACUGAGACACGGUCCAGACUCCUACGGAGGCAGCAGUGGGAAUUUUGGCAAUGGGCGAAAGCCUGACCAAGCAACGCCGCGUGGAUGAUGAAGUAUCUC